UACGGAGGGAGCUAGCGUUGUUCGGAAUCACUGGGCGUAAAGCGCACGUAGGCGGAUUGUUAAGUCAGGGGUGAAAUCCUGGAGCUCAACUCCAGAACUGCCUUUGAUACUGGCGAGCUAGAGUACGGUAGAGGAGAGUGGAAUUCCCGGUGUAGCAGUGAAAUGCGUAGAGAUCGGGAGGAACAUCAGUUGCGAAGGCGGCUCUCUGGACCAGUACUGACGCUGAGGCACGAAAGCGUGGGGAGCAAACAGG
Molecule: ribosomal RNA, 253 nt
Filed under: uncultured bacterium
Lineage: Bacteria
Description: partial 16S ribosomal RNA
Rfam family: Bacterial small subunit ribosomal RNA
Source: RNAcentral